GCCUACGGCCAUACCCGGACCAAACGCCCCCGAUCCCAUCCGAUCUCGGAAGGUAAACCGCCCCGGGCCUGGCUAGUACUUGGAUGAGUUACCGCCUGGGAAUCCCAGAUGCCGUAGGCA
This is a ribosomal RNA of Terrapene triunguis (Three-toed box turtle), 120 nucleotides long. The record is from Ensembl. Lineage: Eukaryota; Metazoa; Chordata; Testudines; Emydidae.